GAUGAACGCUGGCGGCGUGCCUAAUACAUGCAAGUCGAGCGAACAGACGAGGAGCUUGCUCCUCUGACGUUAGCGGUGGACGGGUGAGUAACACGUGGAUAACCUACCUAUAAGACUGGGAUAACUUCGGGAAACCGGAGCUAAUACCGGAUAACAUGUUGAACCGCAUGGUUCAACAGUGAAAGACGGUCUUGCUGUCACUUAUAGAUGGAUCCGCGCCGCAUUAGCUAGUUGGUAAGGUAACGGCUUACCAAGGCAACGAUGCGUAGCCGACCUGAGAGGGUGAUCGGCCACACUGGAACUGAGACACGGUCCAGACUCCUACGGGAGGCAGCAGUAGGGAAUCUUCCGCAAUGGGCGAAAGCCUGACGGAGCAACGCCGCGUGAGUGAAGAAGGUCUUCGGAUCGUAAAACUCUGUUAUUAGGGAAGAACAAAUGUGUAAGUAACUAUGCACGUGUUGACGGUACCUAAUCAGAAAGCCACGGCUAACUACGUG
Molecule: ribosomal RNA, 497 nt
Filed under: uncultured bacterium
Lineage: Bacteria
Description: partial 16S ribosomal RNA
Rfam family: Bacterial small subunit ribosomal RNA
Source: RNAcentral